GGAGGGGUGGUCGAGUGGUUGAUGGCUCCGGUCUUGAAAACCGGCAGGGCGCAAGCCCUCGUGGGUUCGAAUCCCACCCCCUCCG
RNAcentral lists this transfer RNA (85 nucleotides) under Verrucomicrobiota bacterium. RNAcentral describes it as "tRNA-Ser". It matches the Rfam family "tRNA". From Rfam's summary of the family: Transfer RNA (tRNA) molecules are approximately 80 nucleotides in length. Their secondary structure includes four short double-helical elements and three loops (D, anti-codon, and T loops). RNAcentral also lists the same sequence under 4 other names. Lineage: Bacteria; Pseudomonadati; Verrucomicrobiota. The record is from RNAcentral.